Molecule: small nucleolar RNA, 102 nt
Organism: Cavia aperea (Brazilian guinea pig)
Lineage: Eukaryota; Metazoa; Chordata; Mammalia; Rodentia; Caviidae
Source: Ensembl
UGGGCAUAUCACAGUGCCCCAUAUCAGAACUAAAUAUGUUACCAUACCACAGCCUCGCCUCUGCGCCUACAGGCUGCCUGCACUGAAGUUGGGGGAGGGGAG